Molecule: long non-coding RNA, 1231 nt
Filed under: Pongo abelii (Sumatran orangutan)
Lineage: Eukaryota; Metazoa; Chordata; Mammalia; Primates; Hominidae
Description: lincRNA
Source: RNAcentral
GUCUCUGUCUCUGAGUCUCUGUCUCUCUCUGUCUCUUCACAGUCUGUUACUACUUAAUACAGUGCUUAUUGGCCUGAGAUUGGACAUUAUUUAAAAGCAAUUUAGAGAGUUUUCUCCAUUUCAGGCAAGAAAACAUGCACUAUUUUUCUGAUAUGGCAUGGGACAUCGAAAAAUAGUUUUGAACAAAAUUUUGAAAUUUUUGGCCCAAAGAAAGCAAAUACCCACCGCAACAAAUAAGAUGUGUCACAAUAAGUCAUGAUUUACAAUCCCUUUCACAACUGCCUGUUGCCCUUAGCAAUCCCUAAAGCAAAAACAAACAAAACAAAUCCUUUCAGCAUAUCUUCAUGAAACUGUCUGGGAUGUGACAAAACUUUGAGAAACAGUUUUGUGAUAAUGGUUUUGCACUUUAUUGGUACUUCUCCAGAGGAGGUGGUGAAUGGCUGCUUUCAAAUACAUAGAGCUAUCAAAGGCUAAAGUCAAUAAAAAACCUCCAUAGAAUAAUUGGGGAGGAAAGAAAAGGGGGAAAAAAGAACAUAAAAGGAAUGAAAAGGAAAGUAGGACCUAUAAAUAUAAAAGCCUAAGGAGUAUAUUUUGGGGGAACAGAUGAUGCAAAACAAAAUUGGGAAUAGUUAUCGGAGGACCAAGGAAGGCAAAUAAAACAAUAAGAUAUAUGAUGCCUGUCCUCCUGCCUCAAGUCUAGCUCAUCAGACAGUUUUUCAUUCCAUUUUGUAUAUAUGAGUUUCAUCUGACUACUGCCAACAGAAAGUGCUUGGAUUUCCUGACUUUUUUCACUGUCAAAAGAAAUAAUAAGCUGAUGAGAUUCAAACUACUUCUCCUUCCUGCCACCAUGUGAAGAAGGAUGUGUUUGCUUCCCCUUCUGCCAUAAUUUCACCAGGAAAAGACAAGACGAUACUGUAUGAAAGUCUGACCAACAUAAAGGGUGCUACAAGGAUGCCCCCAAGGCUCAGGAUGUUGGAGAGUUGAGGCACCAUGAGUAACCACAACGCAGAAUGAAGAAUAGUUCUUCUGGUGUGAGGAUCCACUGGGUUGCCACUGACCCAUUGCCUGAGGGUAUGUGAUGAAACCAGAAUCAGCAACUGUAGAUGGCAGCUCAGAAGGGGAAACGACACAUCUAAUAACCAACAGGAAUGGCUAUUAAUUAGCUGAAAUGACAAUAAUUAACAGAAAUGACAAGUCUAAUAAAUUUUCACUUAAGUGUUGUCAUAUGGCA